This 795-nucleotide ribosomal RNA is filed under the name Triticum aestivum (bread wheat). RNAcentral describes it as "partial small subunit ribosomal RNA". The record is from RNAcentral. Lineage: Eukaryota; Viridiplantae; Streptophyta; Magnoliopsida; Poales; Poaceae.
AUGAACGAGAACUGGAUCAGGGCGGUGGCUACGCUGCAGUCCAUUAAGCAGCUGGGUGAAUUCGUGGCUAUCUCGAAUCUCAUUAGUCAAAUCACCCUUCUACCGGACCAAGACGACACCAUCCACUGGAACUUAACCACCUCGGGGACAUACUCAGCCGCCUCUGCCUACGGCGCGCAGUUCCUUGGCUCCUACUCUCGUUUCGACACAACCAAGGUCUGGUCUGCAAACGCUGAGCCCAAGUGCAAGUUCUUCGCUUGGCUUGCUCUACACAGAAGAAUACUCACUACGGAUAUGCUGGCUGCGAGGGGUUGGCCUCAUGAUCCCAGAUGCCUGCUCUGUCUCCAACAGCCUGAAACAGCAACCCACCUCUGCAAAGACUGCCCCUUCACGGUCGCGGUCUGGAACCAGGUGAACACCUGGACUAACGAAGGCGUUCCUAUCUCGGGCUUCCUCCCCGAGCCAGGAAAUGUGUCUGACUGGUGGGACAAGACUCUCAUCUCACAGCCCAAUCAAGUGCGCAAGAGGCGCAGUGGAAGAAUCAUCUACACGAUAUGGUCCAUUUGGAAGGAGCGUAAUAGGCGGGUGUUCACGGGACUGAGGUCGACGCAUCGCGAGGUGGCGGCUCUGGCCCUAGACGCAAUCAAUCAGCGCGACUUGGCAUUUGCUGCACUCUACCAGCCGCAUGCAUUGGUUAACCUAGUUCUAGGUUUUGUCCUUCUAGUGGUUUCUGCGACGUUCCCUUUAAACGCUCGCCCCCCUGUAAAUUGCGUUCUUUCGCCAUCUCUUCUAUAA